AUGAUUUGUGUAAGAGCAGCAGGACAGGCUAUGUACAAAGGUAAGACAAUUCAUCUAACAAAGAGGCCGUGGAGAGAGUUAUCAAGGAAGACAGCCUUCAAUAAUUACUUUACCAUCACUCUUUUCCAGAAAGGGGUGGAAUUAUCAGGAUGGAAUCAAGGAUGCUUCCAAACAGAGGGAAUAUCUCAAGCUAUGACUCAGAGAGUUUUCCCCACAUCGUUAAUGGUAUGGGAAUUAGGAGCAGGUCAUGUGACUCACAUGGCUCACCAUAUAAUUCCUUCUGGAGAGCAGGGUGAAAAAUCAGUUAAGGAGAAGGAGACAGAGAAGAAAGACAAGGAUUGACGGGGAGGAUGAGGAAGAGGAGAAGGAGGAGAAGAAAUAGAAGGUGGAGGAGGAGAGCAACCCUACAAAUAAAAAAACUACAUCUUUCUAUUUUGUUCUAUGUUGGAAUUAUUGUGGACAUAAGAAACAAAGAAUUGAGGAGAAAAGCCUGAGUUGUUAAGGGGGAAAACAAAUAACUUUGCAAUGAAAUAAAUUCAGGUUUGAAUUUUCUUAGCCAUUGGAAUUUAGCCAAGGUGGUUAACUUAUCUGUGCUAAGCUUUCUAAUUUGAAAAGAUGAAAAUAAUAUUUGGCAUAUUUUGGUUGAUAAAUUCCUAAUAAAGUGUUUGGUAUCUACUAAGCGCUUGAAAGGAAUCUCUAUAAUCAAUAAUACCAUUAUCUAUGGCACAUAGAGAUCAUACAGUCACGCCUUAGGCAUGAACAGAUAUUCCUGUAUGAUGAAACUUGCAGGAAUGAUGCUCCCAAAGAGAAAAGUGGAGUUCAUACUCUUGAUGAGCUCUUUACUCCUUACCAUCCAUUAAAACUCAGGAUCAGGCAAAACCUCACAAGAACAUGCAGUUUCUUGAAUUUAUAAAACCUAAACUUUUGAUAUCUGGGGAAACUAUUUACCACCUGAUUCAGGAGUUCCCAGAAGCAACAUUAAGCAGAGGAUCACAACUGCCUGGAUACUUUUUGCUCUUGGACAAGUAAUCAUAACUUGAAAAGAUUAGUGGGUCUUGGCACUACAUAUUUAAUCUUGGCUCUUUUUGACUAUCACAUCACUUUUAGACACUAAUUAGUAAAAAUUAGCUCUUACUAUGGGUAUCUUUUUAUUUUGGAAUGGAUAUCUGUCUUUCCACUAGCUUUUUUAUUUUUCUUGAAUACUAUUGACCCUGCCCUCAGAAACAAAUGAAAUCUUUAAACUAGAAGUGAACCUUAAGCUAAUCAAUAUUAGAAGUUCUCAAGUUUUUAAAAAAAUAAAUCAAUAUCUCCAAUAAAAGUCUCAAGCAGAUGACUAAUACAUAAAAUAGAUGAAGGUAAACUUGCUUUGUUUGAAGCAGGAUGAGUUUGGUGUUCUAUUCACAUAUCCUUUCUUCACUGCUCAAAAGUUAUUUUCAUUGGUCUUAUAAGCUGCCAUUGCAUGGAACACAGCUGUACAGAGAAUUGUGGCCCUGAGUUUUGGAUUACGUGAAGGUUGUCAGGCGGAGGUCAUUAAGGGGAAGGUUGGAAAUGAGAAUGUUACAUAAACUUCAUGCUGUUUGCAAGCAGUUGCAGUUUGUCUGUCCAGUCCACUGCCACUGGACCAUAUGUAAGGUGGAUAUGUUGUCUAGCCGACCACCAGUGGAUUGUAGGAAAGCAGAUAUCAUGUCUAUCCCACCACCACUGGACCAAGUCUGUACAUCAGGUGGUUCUCCUGUCCAGCCCGCCACCACUGGACUCUCCCCUGUAUGUGAGCCCCUAAUAAAAUGCCAUGUCUCCAAAUAAAUUUCAUUUUUAUUUUUUAAUAAAAUCAUGAAUGUUUUCUCUAAAGAAUUAUUUACACCUCAGUUCAUGCAUCUCCAUGGAGGUUAUCAGGCAUGUUUCCUCUUCUGUCUCAUCAUCAUGAC
Molecule: long non-coding RNA, 1925 nt
Organism: Papio anubis (olive baboon)
Lineage: Eukaryota; Metazoa; Chordata; Mammalia; Primates; Cercopithecidae
Source: Ensembl